RNAcentral lists this ribosomal RNA (328 nucleotides) under Heliobacillus sp. JHB46. Its description in RNAcentral is "partial 16S ribosomal RNA". It matches the Rfam family "Bacterial small subunit ribosomal RNA", at positions 526 to 852 of the family's 1533-position model. Lineage: Bacteria; Bacillati; Bacillota; Clostridia; Eubacteriales; Heliobacteriaceae. The record is from RNAcentral.
CGUAGGGGGCAGGCGUUGUCCCCAAUGACUGGGCGUAAGGGGCGGGCAGCCGGAUGUUUAAUUCUGAGGGGAAAGCUGGGGCCUCAAUUCCGAAAGGGCCUUGGAAACUGGUUUUUUUGAAAAAUGGAAAGGAUAGCGGAAUUCCGGGGGUACCGGGGAAAGGCUUAAAUUUCGGGGGGAACACCCGGGGCAAAGGCGGUUUUUUGGCCUUUAUUUGACGUUGAGGCCCAAAAGCGUGGGGAGCAAACAGGAUAAGUUCCCUGGGUAGUCCACGCCGUAAACAAUGAGUGCUAGGGGUUGGGGGUUUCAACCCCCCCGGGGCCGCAGU